UAAGCUAAUGAUCAAAAAUUUGUUCGGAAUUACAAUUUAUUCGAAAAUUAUGUUUUGUUUUAAUUUAAAGAUUUUGAUGGAAUUUUGAUGUUUCCGUAAAAGUUGUUUGUGAGCAAAUUACAACUCAUCUGAGAAUGAACGAAGAGACUGAACGAGUUAGUAAGUUGGACAUCAUACAAAUAUCUAGAUAUUUUUGAAAUAUAUUAUUAUUUUAUGAUAAUAUCUAGAUAUUUUUUAAUAUAUUAUUAUUUUAUUAAAUUAAUGAUAUAAUAUUAAGUAAUAAUUAUUAUUAUUGUGGUUAUAUAUACAUGGUUGUGGACUAUGUGAAUGAAUCAAUUAAUUUUCCUCUUUCACGCUUCUCCCUCUGUAAAAUAGAAACAGCUCCUCCUUUGUCUUCAAACUUAACACCGCCGGUCCUUUCCUUUGCACCAUUUCCGACCACCACAUACUCAAAACAGAAAAAACCAACAUCACCACUAUUAUCCUCUCUUUCCCCUCUUUCUUUGCGUCAAAUUUAUUUUAUGAUCGGAACACUUUCUACCGGCGACCACCGUACCGGAAAUCAUCACCAAAGUGCCGAAAUUACCUGAGACUGUCAUGAAAUCUUUUUGUAAUGGUUGAAAGUAUGAAUCGAAUAGGAGACAUCGUCGAGAGACGGAUUGUGCUCGCGUAAUGUAAGUUGAACGUGUGGGAAGCUUGCAAAGGCUGUUAGCAAUUGGGGAUAGUUAAGGUAUCCUGGUGUCGUGAAGACUUGCAAGAUGUGAAUGUCUUUGGCUAGGAGUUCAAAAUCAGCUUAGGGUUUUGUUUCAGAGUGUUGUCUGUGUUUGUUUGGGAAGUUUGUUGUUAAAGCUGAAUGCUUAAUUUGUGUGUGUGGUUUUGACCUUUACUUGUUGUCAAAUACUCUGUACGCAAUUAUAUUCAAGUGGUCAAAAAUUUUAUGACCUUGGGCAUUGCGCUGGGCCUAUUUAUGGAAAAGACUUAGACCGAACAGCUCGUACUCUGAUUUAUCAUUUUUAUUAUUCCUAAAAGGACAGUGGUCCAUAUUUUGUAAGGCAUUAAUUUUAAAAAAAAUACACUCGCGCUGUUAAAAAUACACCGUACCGGAAAUCAUCACCAAAGUGCCGAAAUUACCUGAGACUGUCAUGAAAUCUUUUUGUAAUGGUAAAUGGCCAAGAUAAAUCCUGCAUUAUGGAUGUAGUUGGGUUGUAUUAAUUUAAACAAGUGGUGUAUUUUAAAAGGUUGAAAGUAUGAAUCGAAUAGGAGACAUCGUCGAGAGACGGAUUGUGCUCGCGUAAUGUAAGUUGAACGUGUGGGAAGCUUGCAAAGGCUGUUAGCAAUUGGGGAUAGUUAAGGUAUCCUGGUGUCGUGAAGACUUGCAAGAUGUGAAUGUCUUUGGCUAGGAGUUCAAAAUCAGCUUAGGGUUUUGUUUCAGAGUGUUGUCUGUGUUUGUUUGGGAAGUUUGUUGUUAAAGCUGAAUGCUUAAUUUGUGUGUGUGGUUUUGACCUUUACUUGUUGUCAAAUACUCUGUACGCAAUUAUAUUCAAGUGGUCAAAAAUUUUAUGACCUUGGGCAUUGCGCUGGGCCUAUUUAUGGAAAAGACUUAGACCGAACAGCUCGUACUCUGAUUUAUCAUUUUUAUUAUUCCUAAAAGGACAGUGGUCCAUAUUUUGUAAGGCAUUAAUUUUAAAAAAAA
Vicia villosa (hairy vetch) is the source of this 1693-nucleotide long non-coding RNA. RefSeq lists it as uncharacterized. Lineage: Eukaryota; Viridiplantae; Streptophyta; Magnoliopsida; Fabales; Fabaceae. The transcript is spliced from 5 exons. The record is from RefSeq and is a predicted model, not a curated record.